Molecule: ribosomal RNA, 492 nt
Filed under: uncultured bacterium
Lineage: Bacteria
Description: partial 16S ribosomal RNA
Rfam family: Bacterial small subunit ribosomal RNA
Source: RNAcentral
AGUGAACGCUGGCGGUAUGCCUAACACAUGCAAGUCGAACGGCAGCACAGUAAGAGCUUGCUCUUACGGGUGGCGAGUGGCGGACGGGUGAGGAAUACAUCGGAAUCUACUUUUUCGUGGGGGAUAACGUAGGGAAACUUACGCUAAUACCGCAUACGACCUACGGGUGAAAGCAGGGGAUCUUCGGACCUUUCGCGAUUGAAUGAGCCGAUGUCGGAUUAGCUAGUUGGCGGGGUAAAGGCCCACCAAGGCGACGAUCCGUAGCUGGUCUGAGAGGAUGAUCAGCCACACUGGAACUGAGACACGGUCCAGACUCCUACGGGAGGCAGCAGUGGGGAAUAUUGGACAAUGGGCGCAAGCCUGAUCCAGCCAUACCGCGUGGGUGAAGAAGGCCUUCGGGUUGUAAAGCCCUUUUGUUGGGAAAGAAAAGCAGCAGGUUAAUACCCCGCUGUUCUGACGGUGCCCAAAGAAUAAGCACCGGCUAACUUCGUG